GAUGAAGAACGCAGCGAAAUGCGAUAAGUAAUGUGAAUUGCAGAAUUCAGUGAAUCAUCGAAUCUUUGAACGCACAUUGCGCCCGCCAGUAUUCUGGCGGGCAUGCCUGUUCGAGCGUCAUUUCAACCCUCAAGCACAGCUUGGUGUUGGGACUCGCGUUAAUUCGCGUUCCCCAAAUUGAUUGGCGGUCACGUCGAGCUUCCAUAGCGUAGUAGUAAAACCCUCGUUACUGGUAAUCGUCGCGGCCACGCCGUUAAACCCCAACUUCUGAAUGUUGACCUCGGAUCAGGUAGGAAUACACGCUGAACUUAAGCAUAUCAAUAAGCGGAGGA
This 332-nucleotide unclassified non-coding RNA is filed under the name soil metagenome. RNAcentral's name for it is "partial contains 5.8S ribosomal RNA, internal transcribed spacer 2, and large subunit ribosomal RNA". The stretch from base 1 to 120 matches the Rfam family "5.8S ribosomal RNA", at positions 35 to 154 of the family's 154-position model. The record is from RNAcentral.